GAUGAACGCUGGCGGCGUGCCUAAUACAUGCAAGUCGAGCGAACAGACGAGGAGCUUGCUCCUUUGACGUUAGCGGCGGACGGCUGAGUAACACGUGGGUAACCUACCUAUAAGACUGGGAUAACUUCGGGAAACCGGAGCUAAUACCGGAUAAUAUUUCGAACCGCAUGGUUCGAUAGUGAAAGAUGGCUUUGCUAUCACUUAUAGAUGGACCUGCGCCGUAUUAGCUAGUUGGUAAGGUAACGGCUUACCAAGGCAACGAUACGUAGCCGACCUGAGAGGGUGAUCGGCCACACUGGAACUGAGACACGGUCCAGACUCCUACGGGAGGCAGCAGUAGGGAAUCUUCCGCAAUGGGCGAAAGCCUGACGGAGCAACGCCGCGUGAGUGAUGAAGGUCUUCGGAUCGUAAAACUCUGUUAUUAGGGAAGAACAAACGUGUAAGUAACUGUGCACGUCUUGACGGUACCUAAUCAGAAAGCCACGGCUAACUACGUG
RNAcentral lists this ribosomal RNA (497 nucleotides) under uncultured bacterium. RNAcentral describes it as "partial 16S ribosomal RNA". It matches the Rfam family "Bacterial small subunit ribosomal RNA", at positions 28 to 507 of the family's 1533-position model. The record is from RNAcentral.